AGAGUCUCCAACAACGACUACAGAGGCAACAACCACAACUACAGCUGCCCCAACUACAACUACAGCUGCUGCAACAACUACAGAGUCUCCAACAACGACUACAGAGGCUCCAACAACCACUACAGAGGCUACAACCACAACUACAGCUGUCGCAAUCACUACUACAGCUGCUCCAACAACCACUACAGAGUCUCCAACAACGACUACAGAAGCUACAACCACAACUACAGCUGCCCCAACUACCACUACAGUUGCUGCUACAACCACAACUACAGCUGUCGCAAUCACUACUACAGCUGCUCCAACAACCACUACAGAGUCUCCAACAACGACUACAGAAGCUACAACCACAACUACAGCUGCCCCAACUACCACUACAGUUGCUGCAACAACAACAACAGAGUCUCCAACAACAAUGACUACAGAGGCUACAACCACAACUACAGCUGUCGCAACCACUACUACAGUUACUCCAACAACCACUACAGAGUCUCCAACAACCACUACAGAGGCUACAACCACAACUACAGCUAUCGCAACCACUACUGCAGUUACUCCAACAACCACUGCAGAGUCUCCAACAACGACUACAGAGGCUACAACCACAACUACAGCUGCCCCAACUACAACAACAGUUGCUGCAACAACAACAACAGAGUCUCCAACAACAACGACUACAGAGGCUACAACCACAAGUACAGCUGUCGCAAUCACUACUACAGUUACUCCAACAACCACUACAGAGUCUCCAACAACGACUACAGAGGCAACAACCACAACUACAGCUGCCCCAACUACAACUACAGCUGCUGCAACAACUACAGAGUCUCCAACAACAACAACAGAGGCUACAACCACAACUACAGUUGUCGCAACUACUACUACAGCUGCUCCAACAACCACUACAGAGUCUCCAACAACCACUACAGAGGCUACAACCACAACUACAGCUGUCGCAACUACUACUACGGCUGCUCCAACAACCACUACAGAGGCUACAACAACAACGACAGAGGCUACAACCACAACUACAGCUGUCGCAACCACUACUACAGCUGCUCCAACAACCACUACAGAGUCUCCAACAACAACAACAGAGGCUACAACCACAACUACAGUUGUCGCAACUACUACUACAGCAGCUCCAAC
This is a long non-coding RNA of Esox lucius (northern pike), 1149 nucleotides long. The record is from Ensembl. NCBI's taxonomy places the organism in Eukaryota, Metazoa, Chordata, Actinopteri, Esociformes, Esocidae.